This 417-nucleotide small RNA is filed under the name Arabidopsis thaliana (thale cress). RNAcentral's name for it is "putative long intergenic non-coding RNA". Lineage: Eukaryota; Viridiplantae; Streptophyta; Magnoliopsida; Brassicales; Brassicaceae. The record is from RNAcentral.
CUUUUACCUUUAGCAUUCUACUGAAGCUCAAUGUUUUCUCUGAGAGUCCCCUGUUACUCGACCAAACCAUUAGAGGGACCAUUUUUGUCUCUUAGCCUAAGCCCGAAACCAAGUGAGUUCAUAACCAUUGAAUUGCUUGAUCCACUGUUUGUGCUUAAUGAAUGUUAAAGGGAAUUGGUUGAUGUGAAUGCUUGAAUAGAUUAAGGCAAGUUGUUAGGUUGCAAUUGUGACGAGUAUGGCUAACUUUUUUGAGUAAGGGUCUAUCAUCUUGCAAUCAGAAUUAGCUACCUGGACAUUGAGCUUACCCAUUUUAUAGGCAUGCUUCGGUUUUUGAAUCCCCACCUUCAAACCUCUCCUUCAACUUAAGAUUUUUUGUUUGCUUGAGGGCACGCAAGAGAUAAGUUUGGGAGAGUUGAU